Molecule: ribosomal RNA, 467 nt
Filed under: uncultured bacterium
Lineage: Bacteria
Description: partial 16S ribosomal RNA
Rfam family: Bacterial small subunit ribosomal RNA
Source: RNAcentral
GACGAACGCUGGCGGCGUGCUUAACACAUGCAAGUCGAACGGAAAGGCUCCAGCUUGCUGGAGUACUCGAGUGGCGAACGGGUGAGUAACACGUGGGUAAUCUGCCCUGCACUCUGGGAUAAGCCUGGGAAACUGGGUCUAAUACUGGAUAUGACCUUUCUCCUUAUGGGGUUUGGUGGAAAGUUUUUCGGUGUAGGAUGAGCCCGCGGCCUAUCAGCUUGUUGGUGGGGUGAUGGCCUACCAAGGCGACGACGGGUAGCCGACCUGAGAGGGUGAUCGGCCACAUUGGGACUGGGAUACGGCCCAGACUCCUACGGGAGGCAGCAGUGGGGAAUAUUGCACAAUGGGCGGAAGCCUGAUGCAGCGACGCCGCGUGAGGGAUGACGGCCUUCGGGUUGUAAACCUCUUUCAGCAGGGACGAAGCGUAAGUGACGGUACCUGCAGAAGAAGCACCGGCUAACUAUGUG